Molecule: long non-coding RNA, 299 nt
Filed under: Malus domestica (apple)
Lineage: Eukaryota; Viridiplantae; Streptophyta; Magnoliopsida; Rosales; Rosaceae
Description: long non-coding RNA (MDOM_LNC004312)
Source: RNAcentral
GUCGGUGAAGAAGGAUGUAGUUUCUCCAGUUUGCCAAAUUCUGUUUGUGCUCCGGGUCAAAUCCCACUAGGUGACCAUGAGCAAUAUUUGGAGCUGGAUGAUCUUGGCGAACCAUUGAAUUACCGUGAUUCUACAUACACUCAGCCUCCUUCUAUGUUCGGUCAGCCUCAUGCUUCGCUGGGAGAGACAUCUUUUCAGGGUGAAGACCAGUUGAACGUGUUUGAUAACGUGAACUUCUGAAGUUAUUAUUGCACUCCAGUCUUUCAAACCAAACUUGUUAAAACGGUUUCGCUAACUUU